RNAcentral lists this unclassified non-coding RNA (374 nucleotides) under Hevea brasiliensis (rubber tree). The record is from RNAcentral. Lineage: Eukaryota; Viridiplantae; Streptophyta; Magnoliopsida; Malpighiales; Euphorbiaceae.
AAUUCUUUUUAUUUUUUUCAUUUGUCAUUUUCUGAUUUGGUUUCCUGAGAGGUUUUAUAUGAUAUUGCUCAUAAUCAUUUUAUCUUUCUUUUCUGUAUUGCCUAUCAAUUUGAUGCCUUUUAUUGUUGAAACCCAAUUGAUUUGUCUUUAGAUUCAGCUACUGAUAUUGAACAAGAUCAACUUACAUUUCAUGUUGAUUUCCCGCCAUAAUUGAUCCACCAGCCUCAUGGUGUAUGGAAUUGGAAUUCCAUCAUUUUUUUUUUGCUUUCUUUUAUGAUGAUUAUUUUCCCUUUUCAAUUCUUUUGCUGUGUUUUGUUUAAUGUGAUUGGGUGAUUAGAUGGAAGCCAGCUGCAUCAAAUUAUAUUGCCAUUGAU